GCGGCAUGCCUAAUACAUGCAAGUCGAGCGGACUUGAUGAGAAGCUUGCUUCUCUGACGGUUAGCGGCGGACGGGUGAGUAACACGUAGGCAACCUGCCUUUCAGUUUGGGAUAACUUCCGGAAACGGAUGCUAAUACCGAAUACAUCAUCUUCCGGCAUCGGAGGAUGAGGAAAGACGGCGCAAGCUGUCACUGAGAGAUGGGCCUGCGGCGCAUUAGCUAGUUGGUGGGGUAACGGCUCACCAAGGCGACGAUGCGUAGCCGACCUGAGAGGGUGAACGGCCACACUGGGACUGAGACACGGCCCAGACUCCUACGGGAGGCAGCAGUAGGGAAUCUUCCACAAUGGGCGAAAGCCUGAUGGAGCAAUGCCGC
Molecule: non-coding RNA, 375 nt
Filed under: Saccharibacillus sacchari DSM 19268
Lineage: Bacteria; Bacillati; Bacillota; Bacilli; Caryophanales; Paenibacillaceae
Description: Bacterial small subunit ribosomal RNA
Rfam family: Bacterial small subunit ribosomal RNA
Source: Rfam by way of RNAcentral